RNAcentral lists this ribosomal RNA (406 nucleotides) under uncultured bacterium. Its description in RNAcentral is "partial 16S ribosomal RNA". It matches the Rfam family "Bacterial small subunit ribosomal RNA", at positions 28 to 526 of the family's 1533-position model. The record is from RNAcentral.
GAUGAACGCUAGCUACAGGCUUAACACAUGCAAGUCGAGGGACCGGCGCAUGGGUGAGUAAAACGUACCCAACCUGCCCUUUACUCGGGGAUAGCCUUUCGCAAGAAAGAUUAAUACCCGAUGUAAAGGAUGGGGAUGCGUUCCAUUAGGUUGUUGGUGAGGGAACGGCUCACCAAGACUUCGAUGGUUAGGGGUUCUGAGAGGAAGGCCCCCCACAUUGGAACUAAGGCACGGUCCAAACUCCUACGGGAGGCAGCAGUGAGUAAUAUUGGUCAAUGGGCGCUAGCCUGAACCAGCCGAGUAGCGUGAAGGAUGAAGGCUUAUGGGUCGUAAACUUCUUUUAUAUAAGAAUAUGUAUUAUAUGAAUAAGGAUCGGCUAACUCCGUGCCAGCAGCCGCGGUAAUAC